GCGCGUCCGCGUGACUGGCGCCGAGUGGAUCACCACGGGGAAGCGCGGACGGUUCCGCCGCGCGCCUGGGCAGCCCCU
This is a regulatory RNA element of Sphingomonas sp. Ant20, 78 nucleotides long. It matches the Rfam family "ZMP/ZTP riboswitch aptamer (pfl RNA motif)". Rfam says of the family: Previously known as pfl RNA. ZMP is also known as AICAR. NCBI's taxonomy places the organism in Bacteria, Pseudomonadati, Pseudomonadota, Alphaproteobacteria, Sphingomonadales, Sphingomonadaceae. The record is from Rfam.